Molecule: ribosomal RNA, 452 nt
Filed under: uncultured bacterium
Lineage: Bacteria
Description: bacterial SSU rRNA
Rfam family: Bacterial small subunit ribosomal RNA
Source: RNAcentral
AAUGAACGCUGGCGGCAGGCCUAACACAUGCAAGUCGAGCGAAGCCUUCGGGCUUAGCGGCGGACGGGUGAGUAACGCGUGGGAACGUGCCCUUUGCUUCGGAAUAGCCCCGGGAAACUGGGAGUAAUACCGAAUGUGCCCUACGGGGGAAAGAUUUAUCGGCAAAGGAUCGGCCCGCGUUGGAUUAGGUAGUUGGUGGGGUAAUGGCCUACCAAGCCGACGAUCCAUAGCUGGUUUGAGAGGAUGAUCAGCCACACUGGGACUGAGACACGGCCCAGACUCCUACGGGAGGCAGCAGUGGGGAAUCUUAGACAAUGGGGGAAACCCUGAUCUAGCCAUGCCGCGUGAUCGAUGAAGGCCUUAGGGUUGUAAAGAUCUUUCAGGUGGGAAGAUAAUGACGGUACCACCAGAAGAAGCCCCGGCUAACUCCGUGCCAGCCGCCGCCGUAACAC